Long non-coding RNA from Ruditapes philippinarum (Manila clam), 3277 nucleotides. RefSeq lists it as uncharacterized. The transcript is spliced from 2 exons. The record is from RefSeq and is a predicted model, not a curated record. Lineage: Eukaryota; Metazoa; Mollusca; Bivalvia; Venerida; Veneridae.
AGAAGUAAAAUGUUGCAGCAAACACUUUGUCACCAUGUGAUAUAUUUCAGGACAUUUUUACUAAUUAUAUUAAUGAAUUAAUGAUGCCAGUAAAAUUCUAAGCAUAUAUGGUAAAUAUCACGACAUUUUGCAAAACUACGUUCACACAGUGGUUAUAUAAUUGUUUAUAAUUAUUGUGAUAAAUAGCACGUAUAUCAGACAUUGGCUGUGAGUUUCCUGGUGAUUUAGGAAGUGAUCUGGAACUAAAAAUCUGAUCAAACUUACAAUAUUGCCUACGUUUUAUAAACGAUCAUUCAUAUAUUUAAGAGCAGAGGAAUAACACAGAAUUCUAAUAAAACAAGAUGUUGCCUAGUAAUGACUUAAUUGUUCAAUCCAACAAAUACUUUGACCUAUGGCACUACAUUUGAUUCGGUUAAAAUUAUAAUUUGAAAAGAAGAACGUGAAUGGUCCAAAAUCAAAUGAUGUAAAUCACUGAAACAUCGUAUGAAAACAUGCUAUUUACGUCAUGAAAAUGAUUUAGAAACUGCAAUGAGGGGUCCAUUCUUCGGUACAGGAAAUUUUACAGAACCAAGUUACAACAACAGCGCGUCUGUAGCUGCUGACUAUGUUGGUACGUUGUCAGGAAAUACAAGCGUCUCUGGUGAUGUAAAUUUAUCAUCAGCUGUCACCCCACCCACUUUCUACAGAGACUGGGAUGAUUCAACUUAUUAGUUAUAUGUAUAUUAUUUAACUUUAACAGAGCGUGUUGCAUCUCUUAUAGGGUUGUUAUUGAACGUGUCAACGUGCGUCAUACUUUUAACAUUAAAAGGGUCAUUAAAAACGCAAUUAAAACUUAUUCUUAGCCUAUCUUUUUCUGAUGGGGUUAUUGCCGUUCAUCAUCUGUUACUAACUUAUGUCAGGUUUCCUAGCAUUUGGAGUAUAUUUAAGUUUGGAAUGAGGGAUCAUACCUAUCAAGGUGUUUUUAUAAAUGUACUAUACUCAACGGCACAAUUUGCAGGACUCUCCACAAUGAGCGCAAUAUCAAUUGAUGUUUUUCUUAAGGUACAUAAACCACUGAGAUACAAGGUUUUAAUGUCGAAAAGGCGUGGCAAUAUUUUGAUAGCUUGUUUCUGGGUAACGCCAUGCUUAAUAUAUGUUGCCAUAGCAACAUGCUUGUAUCAUAUUUCAAACUUUGUACCGGCCACUAAAAAUAUGUUUGUCUUCUUCAAUUUUUUUUAUUUCUUGUGUUGUGUUUUAUUCUUUUUCUUCUUCGUGAUUAUCUAUUCAAUAACAAUUUACUCUAUUAAUACAUUUAUGCAAAGACAACCGUCAUCUUAUCGUCACGGUAUAACAAAGACAGCUGUCACGGUAUGUUUCAUAAUAACGUCGUAUUUUGUUUUUGUUAUGCCAGUUUUAUUAAUAAUACUAAGUGAGUUUUUGUGGUUUUCAAUGGAUUACGAAGUAUGCUUGCUUUACGUAGUAAACACGAUUUGUGAUCCGGUCAUAUAUGCCUUCAGAAUCCCCGAGAUUAAGGCACAAUACAGAAUUAUAUUUAGGAAAUUAUUUAGAUGUAAAACACGAGGUGGAGACAAUAAUAUUUGAGCCGCGUCACGACAAAACCAGCAUAAUGGGUUUGCGACCAGCAUGGAUCCAGACCAGCCUGCGCAUCCGCGCAGUCUGAUCAGGAUCCAUGCUGUUCGCUUACAAACCCUAUAACAAGUAGAGAAACUGAUAGCGAACAGCAUGGAUCCUGAUCAGACUGCGCGGAUGCGCAGGCUGGUCUGGAUCCAUGCUGGUCGCAAACCCAUUAUGUUGGUUUUGUCGUGACGCGGCUCAUUUAGAACUGUGAGAACAGAGCAAAGGAAGGAAAUAUAUACUGAACAAAAAAAAAAUGUAAAUUUCCCCGUGUUUCAGUGGAGAAAUAGUGUUGCAAUGCACGGACCAGUACAUUCGUGUAUAUUCUAUGAAACCUUUCAUUGUAAUUGUAUAGAUUUCCAUGUCAAAAAGAACGAUGCCAACGAUGCCAGACAGUCUUCAUGCCGAAGGUGGUCAUACCCGAUAUUAAUUUAUGAUUUUGUUGGGCGACCCCUUCUGCAUUUUAACUACCAUUUUGAUAAACCCUCAGCAAUGAUUUUUUUUCACAAAAAUCGCAAUAAAAUACUCUUUCGAUACAUAUAAAUCUACUUUCGUCAUGAUUUUCAUAUUUGUGUAUAUCUGCACUUACAUACAGGGGAAGUUUCUUUUUUUGUUCAGUAUAUAUUGAUAAAAUACUUGUAAAUGAAAGAAACGGUUGUUGGUUUCUAAUGUUAUAGUUACUUGUAUGGGUAUUAUCGAAAUAAAACAAGAAAUAUGUGAACAUGUUUGUUUUAAGUUUGAAAACAAUCAGUACUAUAUGUCGUGCUUUGUCACUUUCUGUAUUCAUUGUUAUUUCGGUUAAAAUUAGAAAUUUACUUUUUUAGCUAGCGUACAUGGAAAUCUUAAAGAUCCUCCAGAAAUGUAUUGGUCUAGAAUGUUUUUCCUUUUAUUUCUUCGCUUGAAAAGUACCAGGCUGAGUGUAUUGUAGUUGAUUUUCAACUAUUGUCUUAUCUAAAUAUUUUUCUUCACUGCUACUUUUGGUUAGUUAUAUAUAUAUAUAUUCUGCACGUAAGACGUUAAAUAGCUCGUGUUCUUUCAUAUAUACUUGUAUAUAUCGAUGUUAAAAUUGAUAAUGUUUUGUUUUUGAUUUUAAAUUUCUUUAAUCGUGUUCAUGUUUAUGUAAAUAAUGAAGGCAAACCUAAAGGAGAUAUACCUUCUAACUGAAGAGUAUUCGGUGUAUAUAGGACGUUAAUUCAAACUUCGACAUUAUAUAGUUUCAACUGAUCAUUGAGUUAACACCAUAAUAAAUAUAGCAUCAGUAUCGAUAUGUCUGAUUAUGUACUCAACAAAAUCAUGUUUAUAUAACAUAAACUUUAACAUGUAUAAAUGUUGACUAACCUUCUCAACAUCAUGCAGUAAACUUCACUGCACUUUAUAGCGAACAUGGAUAUAGCGAACUCUGUUAUAGCGAAAAUGAAUAUAGCGAACAUUGUUAUAACGAACAUGGUUAUAGCGAACACUAUUAUAGCGAACAUGGUUAUAGCGAACAUUUUUAUAGCGAAUGGACAAUUACUUACGGUACGAAUGAUGCCCUUCUUUACUAUUACUAUUUUUAUUAUUUCAAAGGAUAUAUAGCUCUAUCUAGUGGAAUGCAAUUCAUAAACGUUUAAAUUUUGUUGUUACAAUUAUCGUUUUGUUGAUUCUUAGAAGAUUAAAAACAAAG